RNAcentral lists this long non-coding RNA (222 nucleotides) under Prunus persica (peach). Its description in RNAcentral is "long non-coding RNA (PPER_LNC002782)". The record is from RNAcentral. Lineage: Eukaryota; Viridiplantae; Streptophyta; Magnoliopsida; Rosales; Rosaceae.
AAAAAUCAUAUUCUAAAACCUCUUCAAAAUCUUAGAUUUAUUUGCUGGUUUCUUAAAAAUGUCUAGAUUAUUCACUCUUGUAACAAAAAAAAAACAAAAAUUAUUCACUCUACAACUCAUCAUUUUUUUUUAUAGGGUGUCACACCUACGUGGAACUUUGGAUAGAGAAGAAUGAUCAAAUAUUCCCAUUUGACCUUCUUGCCCUUGGUUGCUUAAACUCAA